GCGGUGCUGCGGGGUUCGUCAGGAGUACUUUUCCCCGGGGCCUUAUCGACUCCCCAGGGAGCUGUCCCUGGCCCUGUCCCUGGACUUGGCCAACACGGCGCCCACCUACACUGUAGGUUUCCCGGGAUCGCAACUCCAACGGCUCACGUGGCUCCGCA
This is a non-coding RNA of Methylobacterium sp. Leaf93, 158 nucleotides long. It matches the Rfam family "6S / SsrS RNA". From Rfam's summary of the family: E. coli 6S RNA was the first non coding RNA to be sequenced, but its function was unknown until recently. It consists of 184 nucleotides that fold into an extended hairpin structure with a large single-stranded internal bulge. The record is from Rfam. Lineage: Bacteria; Pseudomonadati; Pseudomonadota; Alphaproteobacteria; Hyphomicrobiales; Methylobacteriaceae.